ACACGUACGAGUUGAUCCUGGCUCAGAACGAACGUUAGCGGCGCGCCUAACACAUGCAAGUCGAGCGGAGGGUUUCGGCCCUCAGCGGCGGACGGGUGAGUAACACGUAGGUUACGUGCCCUUUGGUGGGGAAUAACUUAGGGAAACCUGAGCUAAUACCGCAUAUGUCCUUCGGGAUGAAAGCCUUCGGGCGUCAGAGGAUCGGCCUGCGGCCCAUUAUUUAAUCCUAGUUGGUAGGGUAAUGGCCUACCAAGGGUACGAUGGGUAGCUGGUCUGAGAGGAUGAUCAGCCGCACUGGAACUGAGACACGGUUCAGACUCCUACGGGAGGCAGCAGUGGGGAAUAUUGGACAAUGGGCGAAAGCCUGAUCCAGCCACGCCGCGUGGGUGAUGAAGGCCUUCGGGUUGUAAAGCCCUGUCGGGAGGGACGAAUCAAUGACGGUACCUCCCAAGAAAGCACCGGCUAACUCCGUG
RNAcentral lists this ribosomal RNA (473 nucleotides) under uncultured bacterium. Its description in RNAcentral is "bacterial SSU rRNA". It matches the Rfam family "Bacterial small subunit ribosomal RNA", at positions 1 to 507 of the family's 1533-position model. The record is from RNAcentral.